AACGCACAUUGCGCCCUUUGGUAUUCCGAAGGGCAUGCCUGUUCGAGCGUCAUUUUCAACCGUCAAGCCUGGCUUGUUAUUGGGUCCGAUCGUGGAACUUCCACCGAUCGACCUGAAAGAUAAUGGCGGCGUCAAAUCUUGACCCCAGAUGCAGCGAGCUUUGUUGAGCAUACAUCGCGGCGGUCGAUUUGUCCUGGCCCUCCUGCGGUCGUCCCCCGGGACGGUCGUGUUCUCUCAUAAGGUUGACCUCGGAUCAGGUAGGAAUACCCGCUGAACUUAA
This 280-nucleotide unclassified non-coding RNA is filed under the name uncultured fungus. RNAcentral describes it as "partial contains 5.8S ribosomal RNA, internal transcribed spacer 2, and large subunit ribosomal RNA". The stretch from base 1 to 52 matches the Rfam family "5.8S ribosomal RNA", at positions 103 to 154 of the family's 154-position model. Lineage: Eukaryota; Fungi. The record is from RNAcentral.